CCUAAUUUAAUAUCGGAUACCUAUAUAAGCUAGUAAUAUGGUCUAGUGUUUCUACAAUUAACCGUAAAUUAAUUACUAUGGUAAAAUUAUGUAAUUUU
This 98-nucleotide non-coding RNA is filed under the name Spiroplasma mirum. RNAcentral's name for it is "Guanine sequence". It matches the Rfam family "Purine riboswitch aptamer". Rfam says of the family: Riboswitches are metabolite binding domains within certain messenger RNAs that serve as precision sensors for their corresponding targets. Allosteric rearrangement of mRNA structure is mediated by ligand binding, and this results in modulation of gene expression. RNAcentral also lists the same sequence under 1 other name. The record is from RNAcentral. Lineage: Bacteria; Bacillati; Mycoplasmatota; Mollicutes; Entomoplasmatales; Spiroplasmataceae.